This 253-nucleotide ribosomal RNA is filed under the name uncultured bacterium. RNAcentral describes it as "partial 16S ribosomal RNA". It matches the Rfam family "Bacterial small subunit ribosomal RNA", at positions 524 to 776 of the family's 1533-position model. The record is from RNAcentral.
UACGUAGGGUGCGAGCGUUAAUCGGAAUUACUGGGCGUAAAGCGUGCGCAGGCGGUUUUGUAAGACAGAUGUGAAAUCCCCGGGCUUAACCUGGGAACUGCAUUUGUGACUGCAAGACUAGAGUGUGUCAGAGGGGGGUGGAAUUCCACGUGUAGCAGUGAAAUGCGUAGAGAUGUGGAGGAAUACCGAUGGCGAAGGCAGCCCCCUGGGAUAACACUGACGCUCAUGCACGAAAGCGUGGGGAGCAAACAGG